This 261-nucleotide ribosomal RNA is filed under the name uncultured bacterium. Its description in RNAcentral is "partial 16S ribosomal RNA". The record is from RNAcentral.
CUGCUGCCUUCCGUAGGAGUCUGGUCCGUGUCUCAGUACCAGUGUGGGGGACCUUCCUCUCAGAACCCCUACGCAUCGUCGCCUCGGUGGGCCGUUACCCCGCCGACUAGCUAAUGCGACGCAUGGCCAUCCUAUGCCGGAGUCGCCUCCUUUGACCCCCUGGAGAUGUCUCCAAAUGGUGUUAUGCGGUAUUAGACGGAAUUUCUUCCGCUUAUCCCCCUGCAUAGGGCAGGUUCCAUACGUGUUACUCACCCGUGCCGG